GAUGAACGCUGGCGGCGUGCCUAAUACAUGCAAGUCGAGCGAACGGACGAGAAGCUUGCUUCUCUGAUGUUAGCGGCGGACGGGCGAGUAACACGUGGAUAACCUACCUAUAAGACUGGGAUAACUUCGGGAAACCGUAGCUAAUACCGGAUAAUAUUUUGAACCGCAUGGUUCAAAAGUGAAAGACGGUCUUGCUGUCACUUAUAGAUGGAUCCGCGCUGCAUUAGCUAGUUGGUAAGGUAACGGCUUACCAAGGCAACGAUGCAUAGCCGACCUGAGAGGGUGAUCGGCCACACUGGAACUGAGACACGGUCCAGACUCCUACGGGAGGCAGCAGUAGGGAAUCUUCCGCAAUGGGCGAAAGCCUGACGGAGCAACGCCGCGUGAGUGAUGUAGGUCUUCGGAUCGUAAAACUCUGUUAUUAGGGAAGAACAUAUGUGUAAGUAACUGUGCACAUCUUGACGGUACCUAAUCAGAAAGCCACGGCUAACUACGUG
Molecule: ribosomal RNA, 497 nt
Filed under: uncultured bacterium
Lineage: Bacteria
Description: partial 16S ribosomal RNA
Rfam family: Bacterial small subunit ribosomal RNA
Source: RNAcentral